UUUGGAGCUUGGUCGUUUGGAGGGCAGUGGGGUUUGAGAUGUUGGUCGAGGGGGGUCGAUGACGGGUUAUGGAGGAUUGAUGGGGUUCUUUUUAGAGGUGGUUCAACGGGAAUGGAUAUGGGGUGUAAGGGAUGAAGCAGCAUGGGCAGGGGGGCUAUUUGGUGAAGGAGGAACAUCUGGGGUGGUCGUUUGGUGCAGUGGAACGGGAAAAUGGGGGUCGACGUGGGUGGCAGCUGGAGG
This 240-nucleotide long non-coding RNA is filed under the name Nicotiana benthamiana. RNAcentral's name for it is "long non-coding RNA (NBEN_LNC027595)". The record is from RNAcentral. Lineage: Eukaryota; Viridiplantae; Streptophyta; Magnoliopsida; Solanales; Solanaceae.